AGAUUGAACGCUGGCGGCAUGCCUUACACAUGCAAGUCGAACGGCAGCACGGGAGCAAUCCUGGUGGCGAGUGGCGAACGGGUGAGUAAUAUAUCGGAACGUGCCCAGUCGUGGGGGAUAACGCAGCGAAAGCUGUGCUAAUACCGCAUACGAUCUAUGGAUGAAAGCGGGGGAUCGCAAGACCUCGCGCGAUUGGAGCGGCCGAUAUCAGAUUAGCUAGUUGGUGGGGUAAAAGCCUACCAAGGCGACGAUUUGUAGCUGGUCUGAGAGGACGACCAGCCACACUGGAACUGAGACACGGUCCAGACUCCUACGGGAGCAGCAGUGGGAAUUUUGGACAAGUGGGCGCAAGCCUGAUCCAGCAAUGCCGCGUGCAGGAUGAAGGCCUUGGUGUAACUGUCGUUUGGUACCGGAACGUAAACGUUCUACUUCUAAGUACGGAGGGACUAAGUGGAACGGUAACGUAAG
RNAcentral lists this ribosomal RNA (468 nucleotides) under uncultured soil bacterium. Its description in RNAcentral is "bacterial SSU rRNA". It matches the Rfam family "Bacterial small subunit ribosomal RNA", at positions 26 to 505 of the family's 1533-position model. The record is from RNAcentral.